GCUGAGCCCCGGAGACUGAUGUCCUCUGUUUAACAGCAGAACAACUACCCCAUAGGCGGCUGCAGUGCAAGCUUCCCCCACAUUGCCUGAUCAAAAUACCUCAACACUUAUCUGGAGGGACCCUCUUUAUUGUGAGAGUAUAGGUCAGCCCUUAGCCACUGUGAUGAGACUGCC
This is an unclassified non-coding RNA of Chelonoidis abingdonii (Abingdon island giant tortoise), 174 nucleotides long. NCBI's taxonomy places the organism in Eukaryota, Metazoa, Chordata, Testudines, Testudinidae. The record is from Ensembl.